CCUACGGGAGGCAGCAGUGGGGGAUAUUGCACAAUGGGGGAAACCCUGAUGCAGCGACGCCGCGUGGGUGAAGAAGUAUUUCGGUAUGUAAAGCCCUAUCAGCAGGGAAGAAAGAAGACGGUACCUGACUAAGAAGCCCCGGCUAACUACGUGCCAGCAGCCGCGGUAAUACGUAGGGGGCGAGCGUGAUCCGGAUUCACUGGGUGUAAAGGGAGCGUAGACGGCCGUGCAAGCCAGGAGUGAAAGCCCGGGGCCCAACCCCGGGACUGCUCUUGGAACUGUGCGGCUGGAGUGCGGGAGGGGCAGGCGGAAUUCCUGGUGUAGCGGGGAAAUGCGUAGAUAUCAGGAGGAACACCGGCGGCGAAGGCGGCCUGCUGGACCGCGACUGACGUUGAGGCUCGAAAGCGUGGGGAGCGAACAGGAUUAGAUACCCUAGUAGUC
Molecule: ribosomal RNA, 441 nt
Filed under: uncultured bacterium
Lineage: Bacteria
Description: partial 16S ribosomal RNA
Rfam family: Bacterial small subunit ribosomal RNA
Source: RNAcentral